Long non-coding RNA from Cyanistes caeruleus (blue tit), 1665 nucleotides. The record is from Ensembl. NCBI's taxonomy places the organism in Eukaryota, Metazoa, Chordata, Aves, Passeriformes, Paridae.
CUCAUUUGGAUGCUCUCCUUCGCCCUCCGUGUCAGUAGAGCCUUUCUAAUUUGUUUUAAUUGUUAAUUUUAAUGAGUAGUGUUUUUCUGAUAACAUUUUAGCAUGUUUUGUUGUUUUAGAGAGGGUUUUUAUUGCAUUGCACAAAGCCUGAAGCACCUCAAUGUGGGAGCAAUUUGGAAGCUAAAUUAUUAUUAUUUAUUUAAAUCAAACCCUCCAGCCUCUUUAACCGUUUGGCUGAUUCUGUAAUUGCAGUACCAGUGUGAUGGAAAUGCUCAUGGGGCUGGCAAGGAAGCGUCUGGGUACUCUUCUCAGCUCUGUGACCAUGGCAUAUCCCCAGCCACUGGUUCUGCUUCCUGGGAAGAUUUUUUGGAUCCAGAGCUGUGCUGUUACUCCAGGUUUGCCCGUUUGGAGGCACCUGGAGUAGGACACGAGUAGAAACCUUCUGUUUCAGGGUCUCGUGCCAUCCAUGGAAUAAGCAAAAUUUGGGGGUAUGCAGCAAAGCACCAAUUUCAGCUCAGUUUUUAUCUGGUUGUGGCAGCAGGGCAGGGUGCAGCUGGGGCUGAAUUGCUUUUGGAAAGGGUGGUGCUUCUUUGAUGUGAAGUCACAACAGUCCUUAGGUCAAGGGCAUCUAUGAUGCUCUUUGAAGCUCUCUCCUGUCCCUUUGCUGCCGUGGCCAGUGGGGCUGUGUGGGUGCACCAUGCCCCUGGGGCCCCUGAGACACUUCAUGGCUCCAAGAGGCCACCAAGACUCACCAGACUGUGUCCAGUUAAAAAUCUUCAGAUAGCUCAAGACAGAAGGAUGCUGGCUCACUUUGCCGCUGCUGGGUCGCAUUACAGUCCCCUGUCUGUGACAAUUUGCAACGCGCCAUCGCCCCGGGCAGCAGGAGCUGCUGCAGAUGCCUUUUACACACGGGUCAAAGCCCGGGGAAACCCUGCAGGCGCUCAUGUUUUCAGCGUGCUGAAGGCAAUUAGAGAGGAGCGGAGCUGGCAAGACCAGGGACAACGCUGGAGAAGCUGCGACUAUGGAGCUGUAAUAACAAUUUAGAUUCUAUUUAGAUACAAGUGGCUACAAGUCGUGUCUCAAUAUUGAAUCAAUCGACACAGACAAAUGGUUUAAUAUGGAGGUUUUCGCCGGAGAGGAAGGGCUUUAGAGGCACCCAGAUGGGGUGGACAUCAGGGACAGAAGCAGAGCUUCUGGCUGCAAGAGGGGAGACAGAAAGGGGUGAUCCUGUGGGGAACAAAUGCCCUUUCUCGCAGCUCUUGGCGCUCUGGGCUGGCUUAUGCUCGGCAUCGAUUGAGGAGGUAUUUUUAGAGGCAGUCUGGUAUUUGUUAACCUUCUUGUGCAGAGUGGAACUCACUUCUCUAAAGCAUGUGUGCGCGCACGCGUGCGGGAGGCAGGAGAGAUCCCGCCAGAGAUAAAACCUGAGUAGCCAGCCCCAGCCAAAGGCCGGGCACAGCUGUAUAAAUAGGAGGUGGCCCCCCUCACCCCCCACCUCCUCACAGUCAGUGGGGCUGGUGACACUGGAGAAUGCUUUGCUGUCAUUAGUUAAUUGAGCUGCCGAUGUUAAGAAAAGGUUAUGUAUUUCUCCUGGUAGUUUUUCUUUGUAAAACUCUGACAGGGAUCUCUUGCAAUAGCAGUGGUAAUGUCCCAGCUGGGGCGUCCAAG